AUGCAAGAAUCCACUGAAGGGAGUGCAGACCUCUCCCUUGGUGAAGACAGAGACGUUGACCGGUGUCCAGGGGGAAAAUACCUCUCCCACCAGCUUUGUUUGGAAUGUCCAUCUGGUCAUUUUUGCCCUGGCAAUGUAUCUGCAGCUCAUAGAUGUCCAGCAGGAACGUUCAACCUCUACACGGGAAAAAGCAGCCUCAGUGACUGCAAGCCUUGUUUUCCAGGUCUCAUCAGUUCAGAGGACAGAGUGGACUGUCGACUUUGUCCAGCAGGUUUCUCAUGUGAUCCGGCCCAUUGGACGCUGUCUUUAUGCCCCCCAGGACAACAUUCUCCUGAGGGGGUCCUAAAGUGUCUGGCAUGCCCCGUAGACUCUGUCUGCACCUCUGGAUUUCCUAGGAAGUGUGGACCUGGCAAAGAGCCCAACCUGGAUUACACUCUGUGCACCGACUGUCCCCCAGGCUUCUAUUCCACUGUGUGCACUAUCAAGUGCCUACAGUGUCCAGCAGGAAGUUACUGCCCAGACAAAGGAACGUCUCGGCCUCUCUCCUGCCCUCCCAGUCGGUCUUCCACGCCCGGACAGACUUACUGUAACUGUAAUGAUACAUCGUUGCUGUGUGUAGGAGCAGAGGCCCCCCGCCCGAACCAGCCGGCCCAUAGGUCGGGUCAAACAACCAGCUGCCGACCAGGAACAUACAAAGAAGAGGGGGGGGAGUCGUUGUGUGUGGUCUGUCCAAUAGGUUCGUAUAGCUGA
Gasterosteus aculeatus (three-spined stickleback) is the source of this 750-nucleotide long non-coding RNA. NCBI's taxonomy places the organism in Eukaryota, Metazoa, Chordata, Actinopteri, Perciformes, Gasterosteidae. The record is from Ensembl.